CUGCCCGCGCCCCUCCUCGCCCUCGCAGUGCAUGCCGGUCUUGUGCUUGGAGUCGCCAUUUUGCCGCUAGAGAUGCUGUCUGAAGACCAGUGCUCUCUUCCUUCAGCGGCCUAGGCUGCAUCCGGGCCUGAGCUGGGGUCUGGGCCAGGGCAUGAAAGAUCUCAAAUGUUCUGACCUGGACCUGGAAUGCAGCUCCCCAAGCAGCAGACAUGUAGUUCUUGAACAGACUGCCCGGAUCAUGGUCUGAGCCCAGAGGCUCCUGCAAAAGGACCUGCAAUGCAUGGAAAAAUCCCAUGAGACAAGUGCCAGAGAAUGGGACAGAGUGGACUGACAUUUGAGGAAAAUAUCAGUGGUAUUUUGACAAGAAUGCUUUGAAAGAGCUGGUUGAUCUGGGUAGCUUGUACAUUAUCACAACAUGAAUUCUUCCCAUCUGCCAUCAUGGAACAGGACCAUGGUUUCAAGAAGUUGGAGUGUCUUACCUAAGAGAAAUUUGAAAAAAGGGACAAUUCAGCAGCCAAGAAUUUCUCAAAUGCCCUUGUCGUUUUAAAAAAAGUGACAUAAUGUUGAGCGCGUCAUGUCCAUGUCUCUUUACAAAAGAUUUUACCUCCUAUUUCAUAGGAAUUACUGUUUCUUUGAAAGGUCAACCUGCACUGAAAUAAAGAUAAUCCCUCCUUUCCUCAUUCUGCUUGAAACCACAUCCUUUGUUAGUUA
Long non-coding RNA from Cavia porcellus (domestic guinea pig), 711 nucleotides. RefSeq lists it as uncharacterized. The record is from RefSeq and is a predicted model, not a curated record. NCBI's taxonomy places the organism in Eukaryota, Metazoa, Chordata, Mammalia, Rodentia, Caviidae. The transcript has 5 exons.